GUGGAUGUAGCUCUGUGGCAGAGCACUUGCCUGUCCAUGAGCAAGGCCCUGAGUUCAACCCCCAGCACUACC
This 72-nucleotide transfer RNA is filed under the name Marmota monax (woodchuck). Its description in RNAcentral is "tRNA.Asp". The record is from RNAcentral. Lineage: Eukaryota; Metazoa; Chordata; Mammalia; Rodentia; Sciuridae.